This 403-nucleotide ribosomal RNA is filed under the name uncultured bacterium. RNAcentral describes it as "partial 16S ribosomal RNA". It matches the Rfam family "Bacterial small subunit ribosomal RNA", at positions 30 to 526 of the family's 1533-position model. The record is from RNAcentral.
AUUGAACGCUGGCGGCAGGCCUAACACAUGCAAGUCGAGCGAGCGGCGGACGGGUGCGUAAUGUAUGGGGACUGCCCGAUAGACGGGGAUCACUACUGGAAACGGUGGCUAAUACCGCAUAAUGUCGGAUAACCCAUAUGGGAUUAGCCAGUAGGUAAGGUAAGGGCUUACCUAGGCGACGAUCCCUAACUUGUCUGAGAGGAUGACCGGCCACACUGGAACUGAGACACGUCCACGACUCCUACGGAGGCAGCAGUGGGGAAUAUUGCACAAUGGGCGCAAGCCUGAUGCAGCCAUGCCGCGUGUAUGAAGAAGGCCCUAGGUUUGUAAAGCACUUUCAGUCGGGAGGCGUUACCGACAGAAGAAGCACCGGCUAACUCCGUGCCAGCAGCCGCGGUAAUAC